RNAcentral lists this unclassified non-coding RNA (293 nucleotides) under rhizosphere metagenome. Its description in RNAcentral is "partial ribosomal RNA internal transcribed spacer region". The record is from RNAcentral.
GUAGGUGAACCUGCGGAAGGAUCAUUAUUGAAAUAAACUGAUAGGUUGUUGCUGGUUCUCUAGGGAACAUGUGCACACUUGUCAUCUUUAUAUCUCCACCUGUGCACCUUUUGUAGACCUGGAUAUCUCUCUGAGUGCAAGCACUCAGGUUUGAGGAUUGACUUUUUUUGUCUCUUCUUACAUUUCCAGGUCUAUGUGUCUUCAUAUACUCUAAUGUAUGUUAUAGAAUGUAAUAAAUGGGCCUUUGUGCCUAUAAACCUAUACAACUUUCAGCAACGGAUCUCUUGGCUCUC